GGGUAGAGACUUAUCCAGAGAUGCUUUGGUGCCUUCGGGAACUCUGAGACAGGUGCUGCAUGGCUGUCGUCAGCUCGUGUUGUGAAAUGUUGGGUUAAGUCCCGCAACGAGCGCAACCCUUAUCCUUGUUUGCCAGCACUUCAUGUGGGAACUCCCGGGAAAAUGGCCGGGAAUAACCCGAAGAAGGGGGGGAACAACUCCAGUCCUCCUGGGCCCUUCCAAUAAGGGUUCCCCCCUGCUUCCAUGGGCCAUACCGAAGGGGGCCCACUUGCCAAAAUUAACCAAUCCCCAAAAGUGCGUCCUAAUCCGGAAUGGAAUCUGGCACUCCACUUCCUGAAAUCCGAAUCCCUUGUAAUCCUAAAAUAAAAUGGUUCCGGGAAAAACUUCCCCGGUCUGAACCCCCCCGAA
RNAcentral lists this ribosomal RNA (408 nucleotides) under bacterium 9-4(2015). RNAcentral describes it as "partial 16S ribosomal RNA". It matches the Rfam family "Bacterial small subunit ribosomal RNA", at positions 986 to 1381 of the family's 1533-position model. The record is from RNAcentral.